This 67-nucleotide transfer RNA is filed under the name Chrysomeloidea sp. 6 KM-2017. RNAcentral describes it as "tRNA-Asn". Lineage: Eukaryota; Metazoa; Arthropoda; Insecta; Coleoptera. The record is from RNAcentral.
UUAAUUGAAACCAAAUUUGAGGUUUAUCACUGUUAAUGAUACUAUUGAGAAAAUUUCUCCAAUUAAG